RNAcentral lists this ribosomal RNA (315 nucleotides) under uncultured eukaryote. RNAcentral's name for it is "partial 18S ribosomal RNA". It matches the Rfam family "Eukaryotic small subunit ribosomal RNA", at positions 1470 to 1796 of the family's 1831-position model. The record is from RNAcentral.
CCCUUAGACGUUCUGGGCCGCACGCGCGCUACACUGACCAGUGCAACAAGCAUCCGUCCUUGGCCGACAGGCUCGGGCAAUCUUUGAACGCUGGUCGUGAUGGGGAUAGACUGUUGCAAUUUUUGGUCUUCAACGAGGAAUUCCUAGUAAACGCAAGUCAUCAACUUGCAUUGAUUACGUCCCUGCCCUUUGUACACACCGCCCGUCGCACCUACCGAUUGAAUGGUCCGGUGAAGCCUCCGGAUUGGCGCGCACCUCGGUGCCGCCGAGAAGUUGGCUAAACCUUACCAUUUAGAGGAAGGUGAAGUCGUAACA